This is a long non-coding RNA of Bactrocera oleae (olive fruit fly), 778 nucleotides long. RefSeq lists it as uncharacterized. The record is from RefSeq and is a predicted model, not a curated record. Lineage: Eukaryota; Metazoa; Arthropoda; Insecta; Diptera; Tephritidae.
UUGCGUUACAAGAGAACAAUGAGCUGACUCGUUUCUAUGGGGGAAAAAACCAAUUUUCCCGUAUAUCCUCGGUUUCGCAUACGGUAGAAGUGGACGGUUGAAGAGGUGGCGAGUGUUCAUUUACAUUGCGCUCUCAUAAGAUACGUCGUAUCAGCUGAUACAGUCUACGGUUUUGAGUCGGUUACUAACUGAAGCAUUAGGGUACAUAAGGUUACGACAACAUCAUACGUCAUCGCACCAAGAAUGAUAGAAUACAAGGUUACGCCAAAAGUUUUAUUGAAAUUAAUAGAAUAAUGUUGCGCGAAAAUAUUUUGGGAUUAAAACUAGUAUCGAAGGAUUAUGUAUAAUUACAACAAAUGACGAUUUAAGUUUUUAUCAUGGUCGGAGAGCUACAACAGUAAUGACAUAUUUGCAAGAUGAAUUCCGCAGACUUUUGUUGAAUUGUUUGGAAACUGAUCCUUCACUUUAUUCGUCAAAGGAAAGCAUUAUUAAUAUACGCCAAUAAUUGCCAUAGUUUUCGAGCUCAUUCUCAGGAUCUCACAGAUGCAAUGAUACGAAAACCAAACAUUGUGCUAUUUACCGAAACUAGGUUAGACAAUGAUGAGAACGUCCGCAUAUCAAACUUCACUUGUGUCGCCAUAUAUAAUAUUAAAGACCGAACAUUUGAGCAAGAAGUUUGCGAUUUAUUAUAAUGAAUGUAAAACAUUAAACAUUGACAUUACAAAUUUUAAUACGAGUGCAAUAAAUACCACUGCACAUACAGUGAGUUUGACUGAAA